Long non-coding RNA from Esox lucius (northern pike), 1867 nucleotides. NCBI's taxonomy places the organism in Eukaryota, Metazoa, Chordata, Actinopteri, Esociformes, Esocidae. The record is from Ensembl.
CUCCAGUACCGUACCCAGGCAGUCAUGUCACAAUUCCCAGUACGAAUGAUGUCUUGAGCUUUCAAGUUUACUAGCUCUGCAGUGUUAUGCCAUGCCAUAUGACUGUGUAAUGUUUUUUCAUAUAGCUUUUCAUUUUCAACACAAAUAUUACUGUCUCGUGUUGUUCAUAGAGGGUUUUUCGAUGAUCCCUUUAAAGUUGAAAAGGGUUCUCAGUUGAAGCAUUCAGGGUUCUAAUAGGAAAGUUUGACUGAUAAUGGUUCUGAGAAGAACCAUAUACAGGUUGUUACAGGAAUUAUCCAAAAUAGGUUUUCUAUGUAGAAAUCUCAUUUGGUCCUACAUAUCAUAUUAUUUUAUAUGUAGGACUACUAACCCUGAUAACCUCUCUGAGUCUGGUUUCUUCCUAAAUUUCAGCCUUUUAGGGAGUUUUUCGUAGCCACUGAAAUUCAACAGUUUUGUUCUUUGCACCUAGGGGUUUCAGGCUAGGUGUUUUGUAAAAGCACUUUGUGACAACUGCUGAUGUAAAAAGUGCUUUAUAAAUGAAUGUGAUUGAUUGAUUUUGCAAUUUUUAGAAUUUUGAGAGAAAAACACUGUGGAAGACAUGUAACUUUUUUCACUCUUACCUAUUUUACUCUUUAAUUUACUAUUAUCCCCAGCGUGCUGAAGCUUUCAACAGUGUGCUGAAAAGAUCAUGGAUUUUUCACUGGCAAAGCUACUUUGAGGUACAUAGUUCUGUGUCCCUUUAAUCUUCUCUUACCUUUUUGUUAUCCAUAUAUGUCAGGGGGUGGACUAUUAAGCACCAUGUUAUUGUCAUGUUUACCUUUUUAUUAGUCCAACAUUUAGGUCACUGUUAUGUACUUAGUGUAUGUCUUCUUACAUAAUUUUCUCUUUGAUAAAUCUUGCUUAUACCAUUAUUUGUAUAAUAGUACUGUUAUUCCUUUGAAGUCCAUGCAGGUUACUGAUUUGUUGGACAUAUCUAAUCCUAUACACAUGUGAGUACUUGUGCGGUUACAGAGAAUCAUUGCAGUCUGAUCAGAUUCCAUCUAUUCCAACAAUUUUCACUCUAGUAAUUAACCACCUUUAGGGUAAAUGCUGUCUACGUCUGCUUAAUGUAUUUCAUUUGUAGACACUUGGUCCAAUACUGCUACCUCACACUUGUUGAGAAGCAGCUUCAAACAGAACAGAACGAAUGGAAUGACCACAUGAUCCGGAAGCAAGUUGGAGCAGCUGGGCCUUUUGGAAAACCAAACAUCAUGUAUUUCACACCUACCACUGGAACACCGAAUCUGCUUUGUCCAGUGGACAGAGACCUGACACACUAUGCCGCAACACUGGUGUGUGAAGAUGGAGCAGCACUGCUGGUUGCUAAUGAAGCUUUCCGAACACUCUGCCACAGAGUUCUUGCUCGUUCUGCUCUCCACAUUGACCACAUGUGUGUAGAGCGGUCGAUGGCUGCAUAUGUGUGCCUGAAGAACUUUUUCUUAGAAAAGUUGAUUGAUCUUUCAGUUGAUCAGCCUCAAAAUUUUGAAGAGGCUUGCCUUUUUUAUAUUACCAUUUAGGAUCCUUACAAUGAAUUAAUAUUAAGGACCUAGUAAGGUGUAGGCCAAACCAUUGUUAUCAGAACCUGACCUACUGUGUUUUUGGGUCAUUUACCUGUUUUUUCACAUCUUUUGCCAGCCUUUACCUGCGCAGUAGCCAGCCUCUAUUCUUUGGAUUUAGACCUAUAGCCUGCCAGACUAUUUUGCCUGGCUGCUGUUUUUGUCUUAUUGCCUCAAAUAAAACCCUUUUAUGCUCUACGCAUGCAUCUAUACCUGCCUGUGGGUCGUAUUCCUUACACCUACACUCCUCGUUCAAUUUUGAAUUGUUUACA